RNAcentral lists this ribosomal RNA (432 nucleotides) under uncultured bacterium. RNAcentral describes it as "partial 16S ribosomal RNA". It matches the Rfam family "Bacterial small subunit ribosomal RNA", at positions 29 to 506 of the family's 1533-position model. The record is from RNAcentral.
AACGAACGCUGGCGGCAUGCCUAACACAUGCAAGUCGAACGAGACCUUCGGGUCUAGUGGCGCACGGGUGCGUAACGCGUGGGAACCUGCCCUUAGGUUCGGAAUAACUCCCCGAAAGGGGUGCUAAUACCGGAUAAUGUCUUCGGACCAAAGAUUUAUCGCCUUUGGAUGGGCCCGCGUUGGAUUAGCUAGUUGGUAGGGUAAAAGCCUACCAAGGCGACGAUCCAUAGCUGGUCUGAGAGGAUGAUCAGCCACACUGGGACUGAGACACGGCCCAGACUCCUACGGGAGGCAGCAGUGGGGAAUAUUGGACAAUGGGCGAAAGCCUGAUACAGCAAGGCCGCGAGAGUGAUGAAGGCCUUAGGAUUGUAAAGCUCUUUUACCCGGGAUGAUAAUGACAGAACCGGGAGAAUAAGCUCCGCCUAACUCCGU